GGAGGAUGCAUGGGAUCUGGAGUCCAGAGAGAAAGUGAGAGAUACCCUGUGGCUAAUACCAUAAGGCAUUAGACAGCAUGAAGUGCUCGAGGUGGGGAUAGGGGUGCAGAGACCUUCUUCCUAGGGAGGUGCCAACAGAUGAGCCUGUAGGGAGGAAGAGGGUCUCAUAUGCCUGUGGGAGUCUGUGUUGGGUGGGCUUAUGGGGCUGUGACCCUGACUCUUGUUCUCCCUCUGGAUUAGGGUCUUGGUUUUCCUGGAGACCCUGGCCCCCCAGGAGAAGGUGGCUCAUGACCAGGACAGUGUUAACGGUGACUAUGGCAAGGAUGGUGAGCCAGUACAGCCCGUGAGUGACCAAUGUCCCUGCCACCCCCACUGAGCUCCAGCCUUCAGCCCCUUACCCCUCUUUUCUGUGCCCUACUCCUGAGGGGUCCCUUAGCUGGAGGCCAACACUCACCCACCCCAAUUCCUCUCAUUCUGUGGAUCCUCUGGUCCCACUGGGGAGAAUGGACUACCUGGACCACAUGGAAAGCAGGGUCAGCUAAGAAUAGCCAUGACUCAAGGGUCAGCUAAGAAUAGUCAUGACUCAAGGGUCAUUUAGGACACAGGAAGAUACCAGAUGAGGAAACUCUCCCCAAGUCCUAAACUCAUUCACAAAUUAGAACACAUAGGUCCAGCCCAGGCACAGUGGCUGAAGCCUGGAAUCCUCCCGCUUCCUGCUUCGGGAGACCAAGGCAAGAGGAUCUCUCGAAGUGUGAGUUGGAGGCCAGCUUGGGCGACACAAUCAGGAAAAGCAAGUGGCCACCAGGUGGCGCCCAAGAACUGGGCCCGAGUUCCCUGGGAGGAAUCUGCACGCAGCCCUGGGAUGGCACAGGGAUGCCUCACGGGACACCUGGCCUCGUCCUGGUAGCCCCUUGCUUGCAUUUCCCGGCCCUGGGGUGUCCUCCCCGACUGCACAUGCAUGUAGAGACCAUUCCUCCUUCUCCAAAGAGGGAUUUGGAACAAUUCUCACAUGACCUGACGAGGGACAGUGGCUGUGCUCAGGGUCCCUCUUUUGUCCUCAGAGCAUGACCAGGCCUGUGGCUCUUGCUCAUUGCCCAAGAGCAUGGGAGGUUGCCCGUGGCAAGGCCCUGGAGGACCCUGCUGUGCUGCCUGGGACCAGGAGGCCCGGCUGCCUUCUCCCAGCACCUCUCCCAGUUAGGGUACUGUGCAGGAAAUGGGUGCAGAGGCCAUAGUGGUGGCUGCUCCUGGGGUCCCAGCAGCUCUAGCUGAGGCAGGAGGAACCAGGGAGCCCAGGAGGCUGAGGCCCCUGUCCUACUGCUCUGGUCGUGCUGCAGUCUCUGUCACCACCAACAACUGCAGUGAGGUGAGCCACUGGGCUGCAGGCUCUAGCCUCCAGCCUGUGACAGAUGCCUCCUCUUUCUGACUCCUCCUGUAGCAGGGCACGGAGAAGCUCUCGCUCAUCGCUGCCUCCUACCACUCCGAACAUGCUGCAGUCUCGUUGACCACGCUGCAGUCUUGGUGGCCACCACCAACUGCAGGGAGCCUGGCCAGGUGCCGCAAGUUGCAGCCUCCACCUCCUCCUCUAAGUCGGGCUUGGAGCAGCAGCGGGAGCAGUCACAGAAGAGGCUGGAAUGGUGGAAUGCACCCUCAGUAUGCAUUAUAUAUAGAGGUUUCGGCAAUGAGGGCCUGGACUUUGUGUUCUGAUUGGAUGGGGGAAACCUCUAGGCUUUAUCUUCAUGCCCUGAUUGGUUAUCCUAAGAGUUGCUCUCAUCCAGUCUUCUUUAUAAGUGGUCAUCUUUGUAAGUUCAUGCCCACUGGGAGUUACUGAAGUUGUGAAUGAUUACAUUUAAACUUAUCCUGUAAUUUUAGUCUGAUUUAUUAAUUCCACCUAUCUCCUUAAGCAAAUUAUUCUCUAUAGUGAUGACCCAAGCAAAUUCCUGUCCCAAGAUGGUAUCAAGAUGAUACCCAAGUUCCUCUCCAGAAUGGUAUCUGGAUAUAUGUGGAGGGAAAUAUUUUUUCUAGGCCUGUAUUAAAUAUGGCACUAAAGCUUAGUGGCUUAAAACAAUACACUGUUAUUAUCUCACAGCUUCUGUGAAUAAGUAGUUCAGGAGAGUGUAGCUGGGUGAUUCUUGCCAAGAGUCUCAUAAGGUUGCAGUCAAUCUGUUGGUGAGAAUUGUAGUUACUUGAAGACUUGGAGUUGAAGAAUUUAUAUCAAAGAUGGCUUACUUAUGGCAAUUGGAUGGAAGCCCCAGUUUCAGAAUGGCUGCUGGCAACAGGUCUUUUUACUUGCCACAUGGACCUCUCCAUAGGCUGACUGAAUGUCCUCCCAAUGUGUCAUCUGGCUUUCUCCAGUGCAAAAGAUCAAAGAAGAGAGUAUGAAGGAACCCGUAAUGCUCUUUAUAAUUUUGUCACAGACCGUCACUUCUGCCAUACUCUAUUGUUUAGAAGUUAGUCAUUAAGUCCAGCCCACACUCAAAAGAACGAGAAUUAACCUCCACCUUUGGAAGAGAGGCUAGUCAAAGCACUUGUGGACAUGUUUUGAAACCACAAAGGGGUAUGGCUGCCAGUCUCCAAGAUGGCCGCCAGUGAUUCUCAUCAGCUGUUAUUAAUACAUUUGUAUAGUCCCUUCCCACAAGAAAAAAGAGUUGAUCUGUUUAAUUAGUAUUAUUUUGUUGAAAUGACAGAGUCUGACUUGCAAGUUUAGGUCAUAAGAAGAAUUUUGACUUCUGCCUUAUUCUCUAUUGGAUCAAUAUCCCUAGGGGAAGCUAGAUGCAAUGUCAUGAAAUCAUUCAAACAGUCCCAUGGAACAAUCCAUCUAGCAAGGAACUGAUAUCUCCUAGCAAUAGCUGGCAUUAACUUACAAGUCGUAUGAGUGGGCCAUCUUAGAAUUGGAUUCUUCAGUCCAAAUCAAGUCUUCAGAUAACUGUAGCCCUGGCUGACAUCUUGAUUACAUCCUCAAGAGAGACCCUGAGCCAGAAUCACUCAGUUAAGCCACUGAGUUCUUUUUGCCAAAAACUUUUUUUUUACCAAGUUCUUUUUGCCACCAACUUUAUUGAGGUAUAAUUGACAAUUAAGAUUGUAUAUAUUUAAGGAAUACAACUUGAUGAUUUGAUAUACACAUACAUUGUGAAAUAAUCGUGAUAAUUAGGUUAACAUAUUCAUUACUUCACAUAAGUACCAUUUUCGUGUGUGUGUGUGUGUGUGUGUGUGUGUGUGUGUGUGUGUGUGGUGAGAACACAUGAGAUGUAUCCUCUUAGAAAAUUUCAAGUAUACAAUAUAUUAUUGUUAACUACAGUCAUAUUAUUGUAUACUAUGUCUCCAGAACUUAUUCACCUUGCGUAACUGAGAUGCUGUACCCUUGACCAAUGUCUCCCCCUUUUCUUCUCCCUCCAGCCCCUGGUAACUACCCUUCUACUUUCCAGUUCUAUACAUUUGACUCUUUUAGAUUCCACACAUAAGUCAAAUUUUUGACCCUUAGGAGCUGGGUGAAUAAUAAAUAUUUAUUGUUAUUUUCAGCCUUAUGAUUUUAAGUUAAUUUGUUAUGCAGUAAUAGAAGUUGCCACAUGAAGCUAUGACACUGGUUAACUCAUUUAUUCAGUAAACAUUUGCUAAGAGCAGACUAAGUGCCAGGAUCAAUUUUAUAAUUGGGGGUACAGGGUUAAGUCAAAAUGGCAGACUAGAAGCAGAUCAUGUGCACUGCUGUCAUGGAGAGGAAACAAAAUGGCUAGUGAACACUGAUCUUGCCAUGUGAUCCCCUAAGAAACCACAUCAGCAUCCAUGAAGGCAGCAAGGGGACACAGAGAGGAGAGAGGAGUGAAGCUGAGCAGCCCAUCUGUGAUCAGCAUGGAGCUAGAAGAAGCUCCCAAACAUAGGGAAAGAGUAAGUGAUUGAGAGCCCCUGGGGGAUUCACAGUCUUCACAGGGACCUGUGCAAGCCUUGGAACAGGAGAAUCUCUUUGACCCACUCCCUGCACCUCUAAGCCAAUGCAGAGAGCCACCCAGAGUUUUGUGGAGGCAACUCUCAAGUCCCUAGGGACUGCUGGAAGCCUUGGACCCUGGAACAGACCAGCACCAGUGCCAUAGCCCCAACAGAGGCUGCAGUCAUGGUACCCGAGGGCAGUAAGAUUGCUCCACCCCAAAUCACUAGACAAAGUUCAGCACCAGCCUCUGGCCCAAUGGUCCUGCUUCUGUUUUCACUUCACCAACAGGUUCAGCCUCCUGUUCCUCCAGGAAACACCCAAACAACAGGAUAGGCAACUUCACCCAAUCCCUGCCAGUUGUAGCCAGGCAGGCCAUACCUGCUAGAGCUUCCAGCCCCGUGGUACCACUUCUGUCUGAAUUCUGCUGACAAGCACAGUCUCUUGUUCUCCUAGGAAACACCUUAAUGGCAUGGUGAGUGACUCCACCCACUGCCACUGCUCAAGGCCAGCAGCCCACACCUGCUAGAGUUUCCAGCCCAACAGUCCUGCUUUUAUAUGAACUCUGCAGGUGGGGGCAACUCCAUGUUCCCCUGGGAAGCAGCUGGACAGCAGAUUAGGUGACCCCACUCAUCCCUGCAACUCCUAGCCAAGCAGUUCUUGCUGGCUUGGGUGGUGCCCAAGCAGUGGGGGAGUCCUCACUCUUGCAUCACUAAAAGAAGUGAGAUGCCCAAGUUCACAGGUCAGUGGAGGAGUGGGUUGUGCCUCCCUCUGUACAGCCAUUCCGGAAAGGAUAUGACCUGUUUGCCAACUGUGGCCCCUGCAUGAGGAAGCCCCAUGGACGAGAACACCUAAUAAAAGAAAUACAGGCAUGGAGUCAGUGAUCAGAGGGGGCUCUUCCAAGGCUUAGGGGUGGACAAGGUGAGGGGGUCAUCUCUACCCCACCCCCUAAAAAGCACUAUGCUAACUUGAGGAAAACACAAAAGAGCUGUGCAGCUGAGAAAAGCCUAUCUGCCUGUCCGCUGGCUAACACUUUUAAGUGCCACCUACUGGAUCACAGCAGAAAAUACAAUACAAAAAUAUUUUGCCAGUACACAGCACCUGUGAAAACUAAGGCAAAGAUUAAGCAACAAAUAAACAUUCUGUACAUACUCGUGACCCUCUGAAAACACCCUAAAAAGAAGCCAACUGACUGUACUCAACUUACAUCACAGUUAAAGGAACACUAACCCUUACACAUGAAAAAGAAUCGAUGCAAAAACUCUGGCAACUCAAAAAGCCAGUGUGCCCCCUUACCUACAAACAAACACACUAGUCCCCCAGAAAUGGUUCUUAGCCAGAUUGAGAUGACUGAAAUGAUGGAAAUAAAAUUCAAGAUCUGGAUGGCAAGGAAGAUCGAUGGGAUCAAAGAGAAAGUUGAAUCCAAGGAACCCAGUAAAACAAUCCAGGAGCUGAAGGAUUAAACAGCCAUUUUAAGAAAGAACCAGCUGGGUGUGAUGGCUCACGCCUGUAAUCCCAGCACUUUGGGAGGCCAAGGCGAGUGGACUACUUGAGGUUAGGAGUUUGAGACCAGCCUGGCCAACAUGAUGAAACCCUGUCUCUACUAAAAUACAAAAAUUAGCUGGGCGUGGUGGCACACAUCUGUAAUCUCAGCUACUUGGGAGGCUGAGGCAGGAGAAUCACUUGAACCCGGGAGGUGGAGGUUGCACAGGCUGGAGUGCAGUGGCACGAUCUCGGCUCACUGCAAGCUCUGCCUCCCAGGUUCCCACCAUUCUCCUGCCUCAGCCUCCCGAGUAGCUGGGACUACAGGUGCCCGCCACCACGCCCAGCAAAUUUUUUGUAUUUUUAGUAGAGACGGAGUUUCACCAUGUAAGCUAUGAUAGUCUCCAUCUCCCGACCUCGUGAUCCGCCUGCCUUGGCCUCCGAAAGUGCUGGGAUUACAGGUGUGAUGGCUCACGCCCAGCAUUUUUUUUUUUUUUUUUUGAGACAAAGUCUCGCUCUGUUGCCCAGGCUGGAGUGUAAUGGCACAAUCUCGGCUCACUGCAACCUCCCCCUCCCAGGUUCAAGCAAUUAUCCUGCCUCAGCCUCCUGAGUGGCUGGGAUUAUAGGCACCCACCACCAUGCCCAGCUAAUUGUUGUAAUUUUAGUAGAGAUGAGGUCUCACCAUCUUGGUUCGGCUGGUCUCAAACUCCUGACCUCAGGUGAUCCACCCACUUCAGCUUCCCAAAGUACUGGGAUUACAGGAGUGAGCCACCAUGCCCAGCCCCACAAAAAUUUUUAAAAAAGAAUUAAAAAGUGAAUAAAAUCUUUUGAGAAAUAUAGGACUAUGUAAAAAGACCAAACCUACAUUUCAUUGGCAUUCCCAAAAGAGAAGUAACUUGGAGAAUAUAUUUGAAGACAUAGUCCAUGAAAAAUUUCCCAAACUUGAUAGAGAGGGGAACAUACAAAUUCAAAAAAUACAGACAACCCUACAGAUACUACACAAGAUGACCAUCCCCAAGGCACAUAGUCAUCAGAUUCACCAAAGUCAAAGUAAAAGAAAGACAUCUUAAAGGCAGCUAGAGAGAAAGGUCAGGUCAUCUGUAAAGGGAACCCCAUCAGGCUAGCAGUAGACGUUGCAACAGAAACUUUACAAGACAGAGGAGAAUCAAGGUUUAUUUUCAGCAUUCUUAAAGAAAAUAAUUUCCAAGCAAGAAUAUUGUGUCCCACCAAACUAAGCUUCAUAAGUGAAGGAGAAAUAAAAUACUUUUCAGAUAAGCAAGUACUUAAAGGAGUGCUAAACAUGAAAACAAAGAACUGAAACAUGCUCCUUCAAAAACACACUCAAGGACAUAGCCUACAGAGAAUGUAAAGCCACCACACCACUAAGUCUACAAAAUAAACAGCCAACAACAUAAUGACAAGAUCAAAAUCUCAUAUAUCAAUACUAACCCAGAAUGUAAAUGGUCUAAAUGCCCGACUUAAAAGGGAUAGCAUGUCAAGUUGGACAAAAAGACAAGCCCCGAUAGUCUGCUGUCUUCAAGACACCCAUCUCUCGUGUGAAGAUACUCACACGUUCAAAGUAAAAGUAUAGAGUAGAUCUACCAAGCAAACAGAAAACAAAAAAGAGCAGGAGUCAUUAUUUUUAUAGCAGAUAAAACAGAUUUUAAACCAACAACAAUCAGGAAGGAUAAAGAAGAGCAGUACAUGAUGAUAAAAGGUUUAAUUCAACAAGAAGACCUGACCAUUCUAAACAUACACGUACCCAAUAUAGGAGCACCCAGAUUCAUAAAACAAAUUUUUCUUGACUAACAAAAAGACUUAGACAGUCACACAAUAAUAGUGGGGGACCUUAACACCCCACUGGCAGUGUUAGAUCAUCAAGGCUGAAAACUAACAAAGAAAAUCUGGGCUUAAACUCGACAUGUGACCAAUUGAACCUAAUAGAUAUCUACAGAG
Molecule: long non-coding RNA, 7354 nt
Filed under: Homo sapiens (human)
Lineage: Eukaryota; Metazoa; Chordata; Mammalia; Primates; Hominidae
Description: HSALNT0123132
Source: RNAcentral